GUGCGCAGGCGGUUGUGCAAGACAGAUGUGAAAUCCCCGGGCUCAACCUGGGAAUUGCAUUUGUGACUGCACGGCUAGAGUGUGUCAGAGGGGGGUAGAAUUCCACGUGUAGCAGUGAAAUGCGUAGAUAUGUGGAGGAAUACCGAUGGCGAAGGCAGCCCCCUGGGAUAACACUGACGCUCAUGCACGAAAGCGUGGGGAGCAAACAGGAUUAGAUACCCUGGUAGUCCACGCCCUAAACGAUGUCUACUAGUUGUCGGGUCUUAAUUGACUUGGUAACGCAGCUAACGCGUGAAGUAGACCGCCUGGGGAGUACGGUCGCAAGAUUAAAACUCA
This 336-nucleotide ribosomal RNA is filed under the name Herbaspirillum sp. Its description in RNAcentral is "bacterial SSU rRNA". It matches the Rfam family "Bacterial small subunit ribosomal RNA", at positions 567 to 903 of the family's 1533-position model. The record is from RNAcentral. Lineage: Bacteria; Pseudomonadati; Pseudomonadota; Betaproteobacteria; Burkholderiales; Oxalobacteraceae.